UCUAACGCAUCCACCCUACUUCUGUGUCCUGAUUCCAUUGGCUGGAACUGGAUUUCACAGUCUAGGCUGCACAUGGUUGGCUAACAACUUAAAACUUUCCUAAGUGGUCAUGCUGCCUGCUCUCCAGCCAGGGCUCUGGGCUCCAGCAUCUGCUCGGCAGCAGCCUCCCCUCCGACCAGCCCAUCAGGACCCAGGAGACCAAGCCGAGCCUGUGUCUCUGGCCAGGCCAUGAGCACAGCCGCAUGAUGCAUCCCUGCCUCGACCACUGCAGGUCGCCGCAGCAGGCGAGGAGGAGCCACAGAACCGGGCAAUGCCACCCCAGCCUCGGAUCUGAUCACGUAGGGCAGUAUGCACCUUAAGAUCCUGAAGAAAAGGCACAAAAUGUUCAAGUGAUGUUUCUAAAGGACAUGUGAGGGUGCAUCAGGGAAAUCAUGCAGCCAUCAGGACACAGACUCCAGGACAUCGAGCAUCGUUCUCUCCUGGCUGAAAAUGACAACUAUGACUCUUCAUAUUCCUCCUUCUCUGAGGCUGGUGUGGCUGACAGGGUCUGGUUCAUCCUUGACAGCUGCAGCAUGAUCUGUGCUGUCAUAAUAUGGCUUCUGGUCGCCUAUGCAGACUUCGUGGUGACUUUUUCCAUGCUGCUGCCUUCCAAAGAUUUCUGGUACUCUGUGGUCAAUGGGGUCAUAUUUAACUGAUUGGCUAUGCUCGCCCUGUUAUCCCACCUGAGAACCAUGCUCAGUGACCCUGGGCAGUACUCAAAGGAAACACUACAAAAGAAUACAUGGAUAGCCUGCAGCUGAAGCCUGAAAGGUGAUCUACAAGUGCUCCAAGUGCUGCUACAUUAAACCAGAGUGUGCCCACCACUGCAGUAUUUGCAAAAGAUAUAUUCAGAAAAUGGAUUAUCACUGCCUGUGGGAGAACAAUUAUGUAGGAAAAAAGAAUCAAAGGUUUUUUGUGCUCUUCACUGUGUAUGUAGCUCUGUCUUCAGUCCAUGCUCUGAUCCUCUGUGGAUUCAGUUUAUCUCCUGCGUCCAAGGGCAGUGGACUAAAUGCAGUGACUUUUCACCUCCGAUAACUGUAAUUCUGUUGAUCUUCCUGUGCCUUAAAAGUCUUCUGUUUUUCACUUUUAUUACAGUUAUGUUUGGCACUCAAAUCCACUCCAUAAGCAAUGAUGAGACGGAAAUUGAGCAAUUGAAAAGUGAGAAGCUCACAUGAGGGCAGAGACUGUGAUGGGAAGGGAUGAAGUCUGUGCUUGGGGAAUCCCCCCUCACUCCUCUGGAUGAAUCCCUUUGUCGGCUUCCACUUUAGGUGGCUGCCCACGAGACCCAGAAAAGGUGGCCCAGAGUUCUCAGUGUGAGGCCUGGCUUGUCAGGCUGGAACUUGCUCACAGACUUCCACUCAUUUAUUUGGGGUCUGAAGGGGAUCAGCAGCUCAUCUGUGACCAACAGGGCAACUGGAACCUACACAAACCAACUGCUUGCAGCAAGCAGUUUCAUAUAUUUCUAGUCACAGAUGGCAGAUUCUCCACACUGGAAGAGGCGCUCAGUCCCCACCUGUACAACAAUGACAGAAAGGUGUGUGGCCAUGCAAAGAAGUCAAAUGUCAUGGCCCUCCUGUGGAGUUAGGAUUUUUGUUAAGAAUACCUCACAUUUUCUAAGAAGUUGUCUGGGUUAUUA
Non-coding RNA from Callithrix jacchus (white-tufted-ear marmoset), 1675 nucleotides. NCBI's taxonomy places the organism in Eukaryota, Metazoa, Chordata, Mammalia, Primates, Cebidae. The record is from RefSeq and is a predicted model, not a curated record.